UGACAAAAAUAUGACUAUUUGCCCUGGCUGGGUGGCUCAGUUGGUCGGAGCAUUGUCCCAUACACCAAAAGGUUGUGCAUUCCAUCACUGGUCAGGGCACAUACCUACGUUGUGGGCUGAAUCCCCAGUCAGGUCUAUGUACAAGAGACAAC
Long non-coding RNA from Phyllostomus discolor (pale spear-nosed bat), 152 nucleotides. RefSeq lists it as uncharacterized. Lineage: Eukaryota; Metazoa; Chordata; Mammalia; Chiroptera; Phyllostomidae. The transcript is spliced from 3 exons. The record is from RefSeq and is a predicted model, not a curated record.